AGCGAACGCUGGCGGCAGGCCUAAAACAUGCAAGUCGAACGCCGUAGCAAUACGGAGUGGCAGACGGGUGAGUAACACGUGGGAACGUGCCCUUUGGUUCGGAACAACACAGGGAAACUUGUGCUAAUACCGGAUAAGCCCUUACGGGGAAAGAUUUAUCGCCAAAGGAUCGGCCCGCGUCUGAUUAGCUAGUUGGUGAGGUAACGGCUCACCAAGGCUACGAUCAGUAGCUGGUCUGAGAGGAUGAUCAGCCACACUGGGACUGAGACACGGCCCAGACUCCUACGGGAGGCAGCAGUUAGGAAUCUUGGACAAUGGGCGCAAGCCUGAUCCAGCCAUGCCGCGUGAGUGAUGAAGGCCUUAGGGUUGUAAACUCCUUUCGAUCGAGACGAAUGGUCGUCCGGGUGAACAGCC
RNAcentral lists this ribosomal RNA (414 nucleotides) under uncultured bacterium. Its description in RNAcentral is "bacterial SSU rRNA". It matches the Rfam family "Bacterial small subunit ribosomal RNA", at positions 29 to 473 of the family's 1533-position model. The record is from RNAcentral.